AAAAAACAUGAAGUGAUGGGGUGCACUGCACACAUACACACAGUCCAUUGCAAGCAUACACAAAAGGAACUGGACGCACAUGAUGCUCGGGGGUUGUUAUCUAAACAAAUCUGAUCCAAGUACUAACUACUGUAACUCAAAUGCAUUGCAACAUUCAAGUUCAGACGUACACACUGAACAUUUGACCAGUUAAUUCUGAAGAAAACACACACUGACUAUCAGAGACAAAGCAAACAGCUAUUGUGAACAUUAAGUCAUGGUCGCGUGCGCUGAAACAAUUACAAUAAAAAUAAAAAUAGAACACAAUGGUGAUUUACAUCUGUGUGCUAUACAUAUACAUGCAAGAAAGAAAUUAUAAAAGGAAUAAGGGGAUGAAAUUACCCAACAUAGACAAUGACAAUGCACGUGUUACCACAGUAAUUACAGGUCUAAGGAAAGGGAGUUAUAGUUAACAUCAUCAGGUACUGUAACAAAACAUAGGCGCAAAUUACAAAGGCUGACAGAGCGACAGAUGAACCGUGAAGAUAAACUUGGGAGAUGAUCCACAACUGCCGCAGAGAUACUAUUGAAACUACAAUGAACCAUGAAGCAAAAAUUCAGAACAUUAGAAUCAAAACUCUGUUGUCCUGACAGAACAACUAGGCAAUAGAACCCAUUGGAGAUACGGGGGAGGAAAUUGUAUCACCGGGCAUACAUAGACGGAAAAUUGUCAGAAAUAACAGCAUUGCAGGGCAGAAGAUUACGCCUAACUACACACCAAAAAUACAACUGCUGGACAAAUUGUAAGAGAUCUCUCCUCCGUCUCUAGAUGAACAGAGCAAAAAAACUAUCCAAGCACACAAGAACAGAGCCAAGUAAAAAACCACCAUUGCACACCAUUCAAGUGAAACACAACAAGAAAAACAGAUGCGCUGGAGACGAGCUGCACGCCAGCGACUAUCAACAACACAAUGCCUGACCAAGGGUCCGGGGCGCACUGCACUGCACGCCAGCAGGGCGAGCACUGCACCACUCAAACGGCUCACCGGGAACUGCAAAAUCGAAAAUCAGAAAAAAGAGAGAGCAAAAAAAGCUUUUAAAUUUGGACACGAAGCACCCCGCAAGUUGUCCUUGGCCGCACCACAAAGACAGCAAGAGCGCACAGACUUGAUGGGGGAACCGCAUACACAAAAACAUGAAGCUGCUCACACAUGCAGAGCGUGCUCGCACUGACCUGCACACACACACCGGCGACCUACUACAGCAGCGAGUCAUCCUAAUUGCAUGAAGGCGGCAACCGAGCUGCACAGGGGCACAAUAACACCAUGAGACAUUUUGCGAGCUACUUACCACACACCAUAGACUGCACACAUGCACGGGCCGCACUGCACGGACGCGCUGGUGGACUGCAAGGAGGGGAGCUCACCCGAAGCAGCGCACACUACCUGCAAGCAAAAACUACAACUUUUUGCAAAGUGUACCACAUCACUCGCGUGGCCGAGCUGCACGGCGAUGGCCGCUGGACUGCAGAGGAGGCCAUGGUACUGAACGUUCUCACUGUCCGCACUGCAGGCACCCUCCAUCGUAUUGCACAUGCUCCCCGGCCGCACUGCAGGCACCCGCUGCACAUGCUCAUCGGAUGGCAGAGUGGUGGCACGGCUGCUGCCCAGAGGGGAGACCAAAGGGGUGGGGACGGCUGGAUUUUGGCGCAUGGGGACAAAUUGCAGGGGUCGCGCCCGACGGACUGCACAAGAGGUGAGGGGCGGCAGCCGGACCCCUCUGUGCACCUCCUUGCCCGCAAGCCACCUGAGCAGGAGCUCCCAACCGCCGGAACACCGGCGACAGAUAGAUCUGGCAACAGGUUGGGCGGGGCAAUGCCUUAGACGGAUCCUCGCGCCGGUCAAGGGGAGGUCUGUUGCUGGGGGUCGAGUGGGGAACGGAGGGCGCACCAACACGGCGAGGAACGGCACAAAUCUCGUGUUGCCGGGAAGUGGAAGCAGGGGGGUCGCUAGGGGAGAGCGGGCAGCCGCCAGCAAUAGAUCCAGGGGAGAC
This 2031-nucleotide ribosomal RNA is filed under the name Triticum aestivum (bread wheat). RNAcentral describes it as "partial small subunit ribosomal RNA". Lineage: Eukaryota; Viridiplantae; Streptophyta; Magnoliopsida; Poales; Poaceae. The record is from RNAcentral.